AACGCACAUUGCGCCCUUUGGCAUUCCGAAGGGCAUGCCUGUUCGAGCGUCAUUACACCAAUCAAGCCUGGCUUGGUAUUAGGUGACGGGACCGCCCCCGCGGCCCCGCGCCGUAACGACCCCGGCGGGACGGACCGGAUCUCAGCGUUGUGAAUCCAAAGCCGCUGGCGAGACGGGACGGCCGUGCCGUUAAACCACCCACCUUCUCAGGUUGACCUCGGAUCAGGUAGGGAUACCCGCUGAACUUAA
RNAcentral lists this unclassified non-coding RNA (249 nucleotides) under uncultured fungus. RNAcentral describes it as "partial contains 5.8S rRNA and ITS2". The record is from RNAcentral. Lineage: Eukaryota; Fungi.